Molecule: ribosomal RNA, 666 nt
Filed under: Enterobacter cloacae
Lineage: Bacteria; Pseudomonadati; Pseudomonadota; Gammaproteobacteria; Enterobacterales; Enterobacteriaceae
Description: bacterial SSU rRNA
Rfam family: Bacterial small subunit ribosomal RNA
Source: RNAcentral
CUCUCGGGUGACGAGUGGCAGACGGGUGAAUAAUGUCUGGAAAACUGCCUGAUGAAGGGGGAUAACUACUGGAAACGGUAGCUAAUACCGCUGGUUGUUUGAGACCAAAGAGGGGGACCUUCAGGCCUCUUGCCAUCCCAUGUGCCCAUAUGGCAUUAGCUAGUUAGUGGGGUAACGGCUCACCUACUCAACAAUCCCUCGCUGGUCUGACAAGAUGACCGGGUGAUCUGGAACUGAGACACUGUCCCAACUCCUACACUAGGCCGGGAGGGGGAAUAUUGCACUCUGGGCCAAUGCCUGAUGCUCCCAUGCCGCGUGUAUGAAGAAGGCCUUCAGGUUGUAAAAUACUUUCACUCUGGAGGAAGGUGUUGUGGUUAAUAACCCCAAUAAUUGACGUUACCCGCGGAACAAGCACCGGCUAACUCCGUGCCCUACGCCCCAGUAAUACGGAGGGUGCAAGCGUUAAUCGCAAUUACUGGAAUUAUUGCGCACGCAGGCCUCCUGUGCGGUUUCAUGUGAAAUCCCCGGGCUCAACCUGCUAACUGCAUUCGGGUCUGGCAAAACUGAGUCUUGUGAGUGGGGUAGAAUUCCUGGUGUUCCACUGAAAUGCGUGAGAUGCUGGAAGAAUACCGAGUGAACAACAGUGGCCCCCUGCGACUCUCACUG